Molecule: ribosomal RNA, 465 nt
Filed under: Vreelandella stevensii
Lineage: Bacteria; Pseudomonadati; Pseudomonadota; Gammaproteobacteria; Oceanospirillales; Halomonadaceae
Description: partial 16S ribosomal RNA
Rfam family: Bacterial small subunit ribosomal RNA
Source: RNAcentral
CCUACGGGGGGCUGCAGUGGGGAAUAUUGGACAAUGGGCGAAAGCCUGAUCCAGCCAUGCCGCGUGUGUGAAGAAGGCCUUCGGGUUGUAAAGCACUUUCAGUGGGGAAGAAAGCCUUGGGGCUAAUACCCUCGAGGAAGGACAUCACCCACAGAAGAAGCACCGGCUAACUCCGUGCCAGCAGCCGCGGUAAUACGGAGGGUGCGAGCGUUAAUCGGAAUUACUGGGCGUAAAGCGCGCGUAGGCGGUCUGAUAAGCCGGUUGUGAAAGCCCCGGGCUCAACCUGGGAACGGCAUCCGGAACUGUCAGGCUAGAGUGCAGGAGAGGAAGGUAGAAUUCCCGGUGUAGCGGUGAAAUGCGUAGAGAUCGGGAGGAAUACCAGUGGCGAAGGCGGCCUUCUGGACUGACACUGACGCUGAGGUGCGAAAGCGUGGGUAGCAAACAGGAUUAGAUACCCCAGUAAUC